RNAcentral lists this ribosomal RNA (497 nucleotides) under uncultured bacterium. RNAcentral's name for it is "partial 16S ribosomal RNA". It matches the Rfam family "Bacterial small subunit ribosomal RNA", at positions 28 to 507 of the family's 1533-position model. The record is from RNAcentral.
GACGAACGCUGGCGGCGUGCCUAAUACAUGCAAGUCGAACGAGAGCAACCGGUGCUUGCACUGGUCAAUCUAGUGGCGAACGGGUGGGUAACACGUGGGUAACCUGCCUGGUAGCGGGGGAUAACUAUUGGAAACGAUAGCUAAUACCGCAUAAUAUUAAUUAUUGCAUGAUAAUUAAUUGAAAGGUGCAAUUGCACCACUACCAGAUGGACCUGCGUUGUAUUAGCUAGUAGGUGAGGUAACGGCUCACCUAGGCGACGAUACAUAGCCGACCUGAGAGGGUGAUCGGCCACACUGGGACUGAGACACGGCCCAGACUCCUACGGGAGGCAGCAGUAGGGAAUCUUCGGCAAUGGACGAAAGUCUGACCGAGCAACGCCGCGUGAGUGAAGAAGGUUUUCGGAUCGUAAAGCUCUGUUGUAAGAGAAGAACGGGUGUGAGAGUGGAAAGUUCACACUGUGACGGUAUCUUACCAGAAAGGGACGGCUAACUACGUG